AGCUACAACAGUACUUUUGGAUUGAUCAUCAAAGUUGCUUUUUAGUUGUGCAUAUGAUCAUACACAAAGUACAGAAAUCCUGAUGUGUGGUAUAUAUGACUCGCCUUAUUCACUUUACAUGUCAAAUACUUAUCAGAAUAGUAUCACUUUUGCAACUGAGUUUGGAACCUUGUAUAGGCUGUCAACCAUAAACAAGAAAGGCAAAACUCAUGUAGAACCUUGUGGGAUGUUAAGAUAUGUUCGAUUAUUAAAGCCCUGCAUGUGGAGGGUUCGUCUAGACUCGGUUGCUUUUUAUAAAACUAACUUUGUAUUGUUCUCUAAGAUGAUAAGAUGAACUGCCGUAUAGAGCAUGACAUAACUCACAGAAUUCCCUUUACAUGUAAGGAUGGUAGUUGCUUACAAGUUACUAGCAUAUAUCCGGUCCUCACUCUAGAUACGUCAUCAUCAGUUCGAUCUAUUUGUGAAGGAUUUUUUAGAUAAGAUGAUUCUUUUGGUGGACUAAGUUUGUACUGUUAAGUAAAUAUUUCAUUGGGGCCGCCAGAAAUCUGGAAUGGUGAUACUACAUACUCAAUUCAAAUUUGAAAAUACAUCAGAUCCCAGCUACGGAGGUCGCCGUGUGUUUCAAAGGGGCCUCCAUCGCAACUCUGGCCGUCCGCAAUUACAUUGGAUGGCACGCUAGUCCGCCAUUCAUCGUGGGGAGCCGCCGGCAGAGCAGGUCAGAGGUCCUGCAAUUGCAACUAGCAGGUGGGAGGCCCUCAUGGCGCCCUAUGACGAGCCUGAUCCCUAUUUGGUAUGGAGAGAUUAUCGCCAGAGGCUGUGGAACAACCUGAAGGACACUUGUGGUUAAGCAGCAGCAGCAGCAGCAGGUGAGGUGUUCAUGCCAGUCAGUUGGUGGUCAGACUGGCACUUGUUGGAUUUGGAUGAUACAGGUGAGGAAGAAACUAAACAAAGACUAGUUAUGUGGUCACCUGGGACUCUAGAUUGUUUUUUGGUGCCAUGUAGUCUUGUUUUGCUGUUAUACACUUGAUAAAUGCCAUGAGCCGUUUUGGCAGCACUGGUGUCGUUUCAUUGUUGUUUUAGUAGGUGCUUUGGCUAAAAUAGAAAAGAAAAAGAUUAUGCACGCCUAGGUUGUGUCAUGAUUGUUAUCGGCUUUGUUGAACUUCGACCUCUGUCUUCUUCAGAUACCUGUAAUGUGAAUUCAUAAUCUCCUUCCACAUUUCCCAGGUUUAGUAGAAGAUGGUAUGUUCUCGCACCUGUGAAGUAUUUAUCUUGCCAGUUAUAGUGUCAUUAUUUAGUUGAAAUGACAAGGCAUUGACUUUU
Aegilops tauschii subsp. strangulata is the source of this 1320-nucleotide long non-coding RNA. RefSeq lists it as uncharacterized. The record is from RefSeq and is a predicted model, not a curated record. Lineage: Eukaryota; Viridiplantae; Streptophyta; Magnoliopsida; Poales; Poaceae.